This 497-nucleotide ribosomal RNA is filed under the name uncultured bacterium. Its description in RNAcentral is "partial 16S ribosomal RNA". It matches the Rfam family "Bacterial small subunit ribosomal RNA", at positions 28 to 507 of the family's 1533-position model. The record is from RNAcentral.
GAUGAACGCUGGCGGCGUGCCUAAUACAUGCAAGUCGAGCGAACAGAUGAGGAGCUUGCUCCUCUGACGUUAGCGGCGGACGGGUGAGUAACACGUGGAUAACCUACCUAUAAGACUGGGAUAACUACGGGAAACCGGAGCUAAUACCGGAUAAUAUAUUGAACCGCAUGGUUCAAUAGUGAAAGACGGUUUUGCUGUCACUUAUAGAUGGAUCCGCGCCGCAUUAGCUAGUUGGUAAGGUAACGGCUUACCAAGGCAACGAUGCGUAGCCGACCUGAGAGGGUGAUCGGCCACACUGGAACUGAGACACGGUCCAGACUCCUACGGGAGGCAGCAGUAGGGAAUCUUCCGCAAUGGGCGAAAGCCUGACGGAGCAACGCCGCGUGAGUGAUGAAGGUCUUCGGAUCGUAAAACUCUGUUAUUAGGGAUGAACAAAUGUGUAAGUAACUAUGCACGUCUUGACGGUACCUAAUCAGAAAGCCACGGCUAACUACGUG